Molecule: transfer RNA, 67 nt
Filed under: Citharomantis falcata
Lineage: Eukaryota; Metazoa; Arthropoda; Insecta; Mantodea; Hymenopodidae
Description: tRNA-Leu
Rfam family: tRNA
About the family: Transfer RNA (tRNA) molecules are approximately 80 nucleotides in length.
Source: RNAcentral
ACUAUUUUGGCAGAAAUGAGUGCAGCGGAUUUAGAAUCUGAAAAUAUAAUUAUUAUUAUAGAUAGUA